GAUCCAGGAGUGUGGAUGGGUAGGAGAGCGUUGUGUAACUAGUGAAGCGGCGGAGGAAUCCAGCCGUGGAAGUUACACAAGUGAGAAUGUAGACAUGAGUAGCGAAAGACGGGUGAGAAACCCGUCCACCGAAUGACCAAGGGUUCCUGAGCCAGGCUAAUCCGCUCAGGGUAAGUCGGGUCCUAAGGCGAGGCCGACAGGCGUAGUCGAUGGACAACUGGUUGAUAUUCCAGUACCCACAAUAAACCGACCGUGACGAAUCAAUAAUGCUAAGUGUUUGAAGUUGGCUAGCAAUAGCUGAUGGAGCGCACGACCCAAGUUGGUAGUAGUCAAGCAAUGGAGAGACGCAGGAAGGUAGUCCAACCCAGGCGAUGGUUGACCUGGGGUAAGAGUGUAGGAGGUUCUGUAGGCAAAUCCGCAGAACAAUCUCUGAGACUUAAUGCCGAGCCGUAAGGCGAAGUGGAUGAUCCUAUGCUGCCAAGAAAAUCUUCUAGCGAGGUUUAUAGUGGCCCGUACCCGAAACCGACACAGGUGGUCAGGUAGAGAAUACCAAGGUGAUCGAGAGAAUCGUGGUGAAGGAACUCGGCAAAAUACCCCCGUAACUUCGGGAGAAGGGGGGCUAAUUUUUGUGUAGAGGUUUACCUUCGAAGCAUAAGUUAGACGCAGAGAAUAGGCUCAAGCGACUGUUUACCAAAAACACAGGUCCGUGCGAAGUUGCAAAACGAUGUAUACGGACUGACGCCUGCCCGGUGCUGGAAGGUUAAGGGGAUUGAAAUACCACUCUGAACGUUUUGAGUUUCUAACCUCGGCCCAUUAUCUGGGUCAGGGACAGUGUCUGGUGGGUAGUUUAACUGGGGCGGUUGCCUCCCAAAAAGUAACGGAGGCGCUCAAAGGUUCCCUCAGCCUGGUUGGUAAUCAGGUGUCGAGUGUAAGUGCACAAGGGAGCUUAACUGUGAGACAGACAUGUCAAGCAGGUGCGAAAGCAGGAACUAGUGAUCCGGCGGUGGCUUGUGGAAGCGCCGUCGCUCAACGGAUAAAAGGUAC
Molecule: ribosomal RNA, 1044 nt
Filed under: Candidatus Allofontibacter communis
Lineage: Bacteria; Pseudomonadati; Pseudomonadota; Alphaproteobacteria; Candidatus Pelagibacterales; Candidatus Pelagibacteraceae
Description: partial 23S ribosomal RNA
Rfam family: Bacterial large subunit ribosomal RNA
Source: RNAcentral